AUACGGAGGGGGCAAGCGUUGUUCGGAAUUAUUGGGCGUAAAGGGCGUGUAGGCGGCCUGAUCAAGUCGGAUGUGAAAGCCCUCGGCUCAACCGAGGAAUUGCAUUCGAUACUGGUUGGCUAGAGUUCGGGAGAGGGUAGCGGAAUUCCCAGUGUAGCGGUGAAAUGCGUAGAUAUUGGGAAGAACAUCGGUGGCGAAGGCGGCUACCUGGACCGAUACUGACGCUGAGACGCGAAAGCUAGGGGAGCGAAUGGGAUUAGAAACCCCGGUAGUCC
This 275-nucleotide ribosomal RNA is filed under the name uncultured bacterium. RNAcentral describes it as "partial 16S ribosomal RNA". It matches the Rfam family "Bacterial small subunit ribosomal RNA", at positions 523 to 796 of the family's 1533-position model. The record is from RNAcentral.